Molecule: transfer RNA, 76 nt
Filed under: Pseudomonadota bacterium
Lineage: Bacteria; Pseudomonadati; Pseudomonadota
Also listed under: 1 other name
Description: tRNA-Ala
Rfam family: tRNA
About the family: Transfer RNA (tRNA) molecules are approximately 80 nucleotides in length. Their secondary structure includes four short double-helical elements and three loops (D, anti-codon, and T loops). Further hydrogen bonds mediate the characteristic L-shaped molecular structure. tRNAs have two regions of fundamental functional importance: the anti-codon, which is responsible for specific mRNA codon recognition, and the 3' end, to which the tRNAs corresponding amino acid is attached (by aminoacyl-tRNA synthetases). tRNAs cope with the degeneracy of the genetic code in two manners: having more than one tRNA (with a specific anti-codon) for a particular amino acid; and 'wobble' base-pairing, i.e. permitting non-standard base-pairing at the 3rd anti-codon position.
Source: RNAcentral
GGGGGUAUAGCUCAGUUGGUAGAGCGUCUGAAUGGCAUUCAGAAGGUCAGGAGUUCGAAUCUCCUUACCUCCACCA